GACGAACGCUGGCGGCGUGCCUAAUACAUGCAAGUUGAGCGCUGAAGGUUGGUACUUGUACCAACUGGAUGAGCAGCGAACGGGUGAGUAACGCGUGGGGAAUCUGCCUUUGAGCGGGGGACAACAUUUGGAAACGAAUGCUAAUACCGCAUAAAAACUUUAAACACAAGUUUUAAGUUCGAAAGAUGCAAUUGCAUCACUCAAAGAUGAUCCCGCGUUGUAUUAGCUAGUUGGUGAGGUAAAGGCUCACCAAGGCGAUGAUACAUAGCCGACCUGAGAGGGUGAUCGGCCACAUUGGGACUGAGACACGGCCCAAAAUCCUACGGGAGGCAGCAGUAGGGAAUCUUCGGACAUGGACGAAAGUCUGACCGAGCAACGCCGCGGGAGUGAAGAAGGUUGUCGGGUCGGAAAACUCGGUUGGUAGGGAAGAACGUUGGUGAGAGUGGAAAGCUCAUCAAGUGACGGUAACUACCCAGAAAGGGACGGCUAACUACGUG
RNAcentral lists this ribosomal RNA (497 nucleotides) under uncultured bacterium. RNAcentral's name for it is "partial 16S ribosomal RNA". It matches the Rfam family "Bacterial small subunit ribosomal RNA", at positions 28 to 507 of the family's 1533-position model. The record is from RNAcentral.